Plutella xylostella (diamondback moth) is the source of this 1963-nucleotide long non-coding RNA. RefSeq lists it as uncharacterized. Lineage: Eukaryota; Metazoa; Arthropoda; Insecta; Lepidoptera; Plutellidae. The record is from RefSeq and is a predicted model, not a curated record.
CAUACAUAGUAAAUGGUACUUACAUAUUUCAAGCGUUGUGCAUACUACAGUUAUCUAAAUAUCUUCCUAAAUAUUCCUACUAGGAUACCUAUACCUACCGAUGGUAUACUUGAGGCUCAUCUUAUGUAUUUUUGUGUACUGCAUGUUUGCAUGACCUAUUUCUGUUUACUAAAAUACACUCACGGGCAAUGGAAAUGUUCCACUCACAAAAUGUCGACACCAAACGACCCCAAUUUUUUCAAACAUUUAAUUUCAAAUUUGAACAAAAUAUUAUCGUUUUUAGUUGGUAAUAUCCUGAUGCUCUGUUAAAUGUACUUCAAUGUUGUAGAAGGCGUCAUUAAGCCAGCAUUUUCCGUUAAAGAGUAAUUAGGUGUUUUUGUCAGUGGAACCUUUUCAUUGCCCGUGAGUGUACAUAGAAUAAAAAGGUGAUGGUUAGUCUAGAUCUAGACUCUUGGUGGUGGUUCAUUUGGAAAUGAAAAUACAAUUAAUUCACAACACUAACCACAUUUUCUUUCUGAGUAUCUAUCACCAGUAGUAGCAGGUUAACCCGUAAUAACACCACCGCACUGUCACUAACAAAAUGGAGACUUGGGGCCUGCCAGACCAUCAUCGACAUACGCGUGCGGGCUGUCCGACGUGCCUCAGAUCGAGAGCCUCCAAGAAAAGUCGCAGUGUGCCCUCGAGGAGUAUUGCCGGAACCAGUACCCCAACCAGCCCACGCGCUUCGGCAAGCUCCUGUUGCGUCUCCCCUCCCUCCGCACCGUCAGCUCACAAGUCAUCGAGCAGCUGUUCUUCGUACGCCUCGUCGGGAAGACCCCGAUAGAGACACUCAUCAGGGAUAUGCUACUGUCAGGGAGCUCGUUCUCCUGGCCGUACAUGGCGACCAUGUGACACACGAUGUGGCGCCACCUAGCGUCGGCCUGAUCCACGCCCUACGGCCUCCCGCCCUACGCGCCGGGCGGGCGGCUCGGGCUGGGGCGGGAACCGGCGGAGGAUGCGGUCACGUCGUCCAGCGAGGUGCACGAGUACCGCCAGGACCUGUUCGACCCUGUCUCCGCGUUCUACCCGCCCCGGCCCGCCGAGCCGGACGAGCACAAGAAGACUCUGACGGUGGACAGUCUGCUCAACCUGAGUGAGGCGUGCGCGACGGACAAACAGUGAUUCUUUAAGUAGUUGGGGUCAGUAGAGUUCGUAGUUGAUUUUCGUUUAGUUCCUCUGUAAAAAUGUGUAGGUUUAAAAGAAUAUUUAAAAUAUUGUAAAUAAAAGUUUUUAUUAUUAUUAUUAUUGUAAAUGUGUAGGUAAGAUUAAAGAGGCAUACAGUGUUUUAUACGUUUUGUAAUGUUUUGUUUCUCUGACUGUCUGUUUUCUACAAAGUUUGAGUUUUGAUUCGCUAUAACUGUAUACUACAUAGGUACUUUAAUAAUGUAUAUUGUAUAAUAGCAAUAUUUCUUCGGAAUUUGAUAUCUCUCUAUCAAAACUACCUCUUAAUUGGUGUAAAAAGCAAUUACAUAAAUUGAAACCUAAGAUAAAACGUAAUUAUAAACUCCAUUAUGUGCAAUGUUGGUGUGAAGUAAAAUUGUAUAGAAAUAAAUAUAUUACAAUAUACUGAAUCUGUUUUUUGGUGCUUAUUUAUCGUGUUUUUUAUAUAUUUUCCGAAUUACCUAUGAUUCCAAUUCAGCAUUUAUGUAAUUUUAUUAUAACUGAUACAACGCAGUGGACUAAGUUUAUAAAAGAGUGUUUUGAUCUUCAUUUCUUUUUGCUUUUAUUUUAAAAUAGAUUUGUAAAGUUUCCUGCCACUCCUUUUAUACGGUAAACUAAUUAAUUAAUGAAGCAAUGUAUGUAUCCGCAAUAACUUGUACAGUUGUAUGUUGUAAGGAAUCAAAUCUGUGUGUAUGAGAAUGUAUGAUGUUGAUAAAAAGUAUAUAAUAAUAGAGAAAUAAAACAAUGUCUCUCUGGAUUUUAA